UGAAGUACAGAAAAAGUAUGAAAGUCAAAUAAAACAUUUUAGCCCUUGUCAUUCAUAUCAGUUGGAAGAAAUCAAUUUCAAUUUCAAGGAUAAGACUCUCAAAAAUAACUCCCUGACAGAGGAAACAUCUGAAGUGUCUUCUGAAACUGGUAAUCAUGAAGGUGGUCUACCAGUAUCACCAGCCCAGACCCACACCAAGACUACUGCCAUGUUUCCCUCUGCCAAGCAAAAUGAGGAUUUGGAAUGUCCAAGAAAAAUGAAAUUAAGGAUUCAUAAUCUGGAGGAACCAAACAUUGAACCACA
Erpetoichthys calabaricus (reedfish) is the source of this 303-nucleotide long non-coding RNA. RefSeq lists it as uncharacterized. The record is from RefSeq and is a predicted model, not a curated record. The transcript is spliced from 3 exons. Lineage: Eukaryota; Metazoa; Chordata; Cladistia; Polypteriformes; Polypteridae.